AUGGCGCUGCCGGCGGCUCCGACAGGGAGGGGUGGCGACGACGGCUCCGGCGAGUAUGGGUGGCGGCGACGGAGAUUACCGGCUCGAGAGGAAUGCCGCUGGCGACACAACAGUGUUGGGGGAGGGCGCCGACGGCUCAGGUAUCCUCCGGGGUGCUUGGAGCAGGAAGGGGGCCUCGCCGGCGUCUUGGGGGUGAGCCCCGGCGACUGGCGCGGUGGCCGGCGUUUCCGACCUGGGAGCGCCGGGGUCGAGCAGGCCCGGCGGGCGGCGGCGUGCGCACGCGCGCACCUAGGAGACGCAGGCGCGGAGGUCGGAGAGGAGGCCGCCCGCCGCGGCGGCACGUCGGAGGCCCGGUCGAGGCCGUCGGCGAUUUUGGGGGAUUUGCACAGGGGCAAAAAUUUCCUCCCUGUCCCUGACAACAGCAAAGAUGAGCAAGGGCAUCCACUCUCACAUUCCUCCUCACCACCAAGAACGCAAGAACGCAGCGAGAGAGGAGGAGAUUCAAGAACCGGAGGAAUUGAUGUCGUCUUCGGCCGUGAUUCCGCCGCCGUCGCCGGAGAGGAGGGUGCCGAUGGUGGCUGUGCCGGUGGUGUCCGACGACGGAGGUGGAGGACAUGGGACGAGAUGGUGGUGUCCGACUCCAUUCACUACUUCAUCCGCCACAUGUGCCGCAACGCCGCCGCCCGGGGCUCGUCAGCCUUCUCUGCCGCGUCAUCGGCGUCUUCCUCUGUUGCGCCAGUGUUUCCCGUCGUGGUGUGUCCCGCGUCGGCGGAGCACGCGGCGGAGAUGGAGCGGCUCAUCUCGCAGCUGCCGCUCUUCACGCUGGCGUCGUCGCUAGCGGUGCUCCCGAAGUCGUCCCGCGCCCGCUGCCGCCAUCCCCUACUUCUCCGCGCCGUUUCCGGCGAGAAAGGUGACUGUCGCCGUCGAACAGAGGGGUAAAGAUGGAAAC
This 949-nucleotide long non-coding RNA is filed under the name Oryza sativa Indica Group (long-grained rice). RNAcentral describes it as "lncRNA OsZS97_09G003650". Lineage: Eukaryota; Viridiplantae; Streptophyta; Magnoliopsida; Poales; Poaceae. The record is from RNAcentral.